Small nuclear RNA from Trichosurus vulpecula (common brushtail), 127 nucleotides. Lineage: Eukaryota; Metazoa; Chordata; Mammalia; Diprotodontia; Phalangeridae. The record is from RefSeq and is a predicted model, not a curated record.
UUGUUGUAUGAAAGGAGAAGAUAAAAUCCCCUUGUGAAGAUGGAAAAAGGCCCUAGUGGCCUUUACAAUACAUAUAGCAUUCAUAUAGUUAAGGCAUUGCUCCCUAUUCUGUGGCAUCCUUCUUUUU